UAUUUUCUAGGUAUGUAUAUUCGAGGUGUGUAUUUUCUAGGUGUAUAUUUCUAGCAUACAGUGUUAAGCGUCGUUACCUUAAGGCCAUGAAUUAUAAGGUAACCCCGAGAUACUCAUAACCAUACUGAUAGACACUAGAGAGCUCGACGCCCUGCAAGCGUCAAAAUAAAGAUGUGACAUUUGUCACCCCUUGGCUUGGUAGGCCGUGGACUGUAGCUAGCAGUCAGGGUGAGGGAGUGUCAAUCCCGUAUAGAUCUAUACACAUAAUGUCCGCUCUCCCUACAAGAGACUCUGGUUACCAACUAGACUACGGAGAAGGCCAUGUCCUGAAGAUGUAUCCCGAAUAGUGGAUUCUGAUGUAAGUGUUGGACUAGCAGUAGAGACUCAUAACUGAACCGAUCGAUGUAAACCCAUAUGUCUAUACAUGUAUACAUGAUAUAUAAUUAAUGAUCAAACGACCUUCGGAUGGAUAUCCGAUCCCACCAGACCACAUCUCAACGAAGAAAAGGAAAUAGGGCGAACUAGCCUUCCUAAGUCCUUUAAUCAUUAUUUAUAUAACCAUACAUGUACAGGUAUACAUUUAACUAAGUGGAAGCGUCUCGUGAAGUAGAAGUUUAUCGUGAAGUAGAAGCGUAUCGUGAAGUAGAAGCGUAUCGUGAAGUAGGAGCGUUAAUAAGUAUAAGCAUAUCACGAAGUGGAAGUGUUAUCAAGUAUAAGAGAAGUAGAAGCGUAUCACUAAGUAGAAGUGUUUCACGAAGUAAAAGCGUUAUCAAGUAGGAGCAUUAACUAAGUAGAAGUGAAGCAGUAGUAUCUUAACCAAGUAGGAGUAUAAAAACAUGGAAGAAAACUUUGAUGAAAACUAUGGAAAACCCUUAUACUUAAGAAAAUCACGACUUGGUAUUCUUAUGUAAAAUAAGUUUGAAAACCUUUUGAAAACAUUUUGUAAACGAGUUUUAGAUGAACUUUGAUAAAACAUUCGGCGUGAGCGUCAAUUUGAGGAAAGCUUUGUACAAGUAAAGACGUUUUAGAAAACCAUUUACAGUAUCAUACUUGGUAAAAUAGUUGACAGUGUGGUAAAUCCUUGUGCACGUGGGUUAUCAAUCACAUGUAAUUGAUGUGAUAACUGGCAUGUUUAACAUGUAUUCCCCCCCCCCCCAUAAAAACAUGUAAAAACAUUUAAAAGGUUAAUUCGGGGGUAUGAACUCACAUGUUGUAAGUGGAUCCGAUGGAGGUGCCGGUAUAGGAUGCUAAGUGUCAAGUAAGGACUUGACCACACAUGCGAAUCCUAUUUAACAUGUAAUGAUACAUUUAAGUAUCUAAUUAGUCAUUUAACAACUAAUAAAGCAAGUAAGGAUGUCUUAUGACAUCAAAACACUUUGCUACAAGUGCUAGAAGUGUCAAGGGUUGCAUAUAAGAUGUGUAUGGACUCACAUUGGAGUUUACUCCUCAAAUGAAGGCCCUUAUGGGUGUUUACGGUUUCAAGACCCUUUCCCCCAUGAGUUUACUGCCGUAAACUCAUGGUAGUAGUGUCAUGGGAUGCUUAAAGGUCUUAACUCACUCAUGGAGUCAUGCUAGAGUUGAAUCAAGGGCUAAGGAAGUGAUUGGGGCUCAAAAUGGGCACAAAAUGGAGUUUAUGGUCCAUAGUUUACUCCUUGAGGAGUUUACGGUAGUAAACACAUUCAAGGUGUUUAUGGUCCUUGAGGAGUUUACGGUCCAUAGUUUACUCCUUGAGGAGUUGAAUCAACGUCCUUGAGGAGUUCAUGGAAGCCCUUGGAGUUGUUUGAGGGGUAGCUUGACACCAUAAAAGGUGUUUAUGGUCCAUGAACAUGGGUUUCCGGUACAAGAACAUUCUUAGACCUUAAACUCAUGUUUACUCUCCAUUUGGUCCGAUUUUGGUGUUCUAAGUCCUUUCGGGUAAGCCUCUAAGCCAUUUCUAAGUAUAAGAAGUGUUUUGGAAGGGUUUUUGAGCAUCAAAACCCACAUUCAAGGGGUUUACGGUUUUGGGAGGCUCCCAAGACCGUAAACUCAAGUUCUUGAGGUUUCUGGAUGAUUAAGUCAUGAAUUUGCAAGAUAGAAGUGUUAAACAACAAGCUAGGGAGGUUUACUUACCGAUUUGAGGCUCGGAGGGACGAUUUUUGACCAAAACCCGUUUGUAGAGAGAGAAAGAAGAGAGAGAGAGAGAGGGAGAGAGAGAGAAAGUCUAAGGUGGUAAAAAGGUAGGAGUGAAUCCCACUCCUCCCUUAUAUAGGGUGGAGCUUAUGGCCUGGCUGGAGUUUUCCUGACACCAACCGCGAACGGGUUCUUCACCCCUUCCAUAUUCACGGAAAAUUUUAAAAUUAUACAGCUUUAAUUUUUGUUCGCUUAAUGAAUAUUAUGUAAAAUAUUCCAACGGGUCUAAUUCCAGUCAAAAAUAUUUUCGGGAUAAAUUUGGCUAAUUUUUGACGUAACUAAUUACGACGUUAAUUUUGACAUUAACUUCGACGUUAACUUUCGACGUUAAAACUAACGGAAAUUUUUGGGUUGUCACAUCAUCCCCCCGUUAGAGGGAAUUUCGUCCCGAUAUUCAGGUUUAGGCAAGGAAGUAGGUAUGAAUGAUCGAGUAGAGGUAUGAGGAUACUCCCUGUUUGGUUCGUCUUCGAAGUUAGGGUUCACAAUGGUUUCUAUCAAGGUGAGUGGGAUACAAGGAGUGGCGUCGGGCAAACACUUAUCAAGUCUAGAGCCUUGUGGAAUAUCCGGAAGUAGUAGUGGUCUGACGAGGGUUGGACCAAUCUUUGUAAAGAAUCUCGAAUGGUCCUAAGCUCUCGGAAGGGUAGAGCUUUUCAGUAUUUAGAACAUAGUGUACUUCUAUGGCGAGAUCAUCACUGGCGUGAUCGCCAUUCCGAAGUUCCAAACGUUCUCUCAUACUGGGAAUGUAGUCCUUCGGAUUGGUUCUUAGAAAGAUCGGGUUGUCCUUGGAUUUCGUGUUUCUACUGUUUGACUUUCAAAGGUUUUCUGGAUCAUCGGAUGGAUUGCAUGUCUACGGGUAUCUGUUUACUGCAGUGUGUCUAUCUCAAUAUUGUGUAAAUGAACCUGCACUUCUGAUUCUUGAGAUAUUUCUAACGGAAACCCUCAGGGUCGGGGAGAUAGGGUUUCACCAGACGAGUGUUGGACUACCUCGGGAGGUGGUUCUAUUAUUUCUGCGCGAGAUAGUAUUAGUGGAACACCUAGUAGUCCAAUGAAUCUCUAAGACAUGCCCUAAUCUCCAAGGCAUUGGUUUAUUUCAGUUGCAGAAAGCGCGUGCUCUUUUAUAACCCAUCGACUAACACCUAGACUGGUGUCAAGUCUAUAAUCUCUUCGGGAUCUGGUUUAUAAGGCUUAACGCAACCUACUUUCGCACUUUAUUCAAGCAUUCUUGGCUGCGGAGGUUAUCCUGUGGUUCUUGGCAUUCUAGUGUUGGCUUCGGAGAAUGCAUUCUAUCGUCUACAGGACGACGGUGACUUCCUCCUUGUAAGGGGGCGGAGGGUUCUAGGCACUACUUGUCGGUAACGGGGUGGACUAAGUGCCUGAGUAGUGCGAACAUCUUCUGCAACUACUCUUCCGAAGGUUCUGAGUUCUUCUCGGUCUAUGUCAAAUCUAGUGAGUAUAGGGUUCCAUCACCCGUAACUUUGAUCUCCUCAUCCAUUCCUCUCAGAGUUUACAUUAUCGCAACUUCCGGAUUUCCGGAAUAUCCGCUGAGAUGCCUAUUUCGGGGGAUUAAGCAUGAAUGGAUGGUCGUAGUCAAUGUCCUUGACUCUUACGACUCAAAUUUCUUUACCAACUGAGGGUGUUAGCUACUAUGUUGGCUUGACCGGGAUGAUGACAAAUUUCGGAUUUGUGGUCAUUAUAGUAGCUCAACCUGCCAUGGUUCUCUUGACUCUAGCUCCUAUUCUAUGGAAUACGAUGAAGGGUUUUUCUAGGGGAUCUACGGAGUAUGCUUCGGGUGGUUAUCGUCUUCUGGAAUACCUGCAGUGUCUUUCGCUUCAGUUUCUAUCUGUUUAAGAGGGGUUGGUUAACAGCAUGCGGUACCCUUCUCCUGGGUACUUCGGAAGGUUUGAAAUAAGAGGGACGACUGACGGAUAGCAUUAAGUUUUAUUAUCUGAAUUAUGUUUAGGUUUGGAAGAACCUUUAUUUGCCGAAAUGGCUACGGAGAAAGUUCUUUUUACACAACACUAGGGAUUUACACAUGGUUGCACGAAGUCAAACCAUGAUUGAUAGAGGCGUCGAAGUUGGCACACUUCAACAUGAUAUAGAAUGAGGAUCGACAGGGUCAUGUGCCGAACGAGCACACCAGUUCUAGGUGUCUAGGGUUUAGUCCCGUGUAUCAUUGUCGCGGAUACUUGGACCGAUAGAGUCAACGCCGAACUAUAGAGAGUCCUGAAUGUUUCAGAGUAGAGUACCCUUUCAUGAAUGGAUUCUCACGAGGCAUUUCUAUAAUCGCCUAACAUAUACUAGUCAUGUAUAAUUAAGGUGGGGAGGACUGUUGACCGAGCGACUCCGCCUUAAAUCCACAACCAAACAAGGAACAGGAAAUGAGGCGGCAUUCACUCACUCUAGGUCUAUCCAUCUCAAUUAUACAUGGCCGUAACGUAUAUAUCUAGCCAUUAUAGUUUUACCUGAUGAUUUUUUUUAAAUUUUAUGACAGUGCUACGACUUUCGCCUUAAUGGGGAAGUAAUUACAUUUAGGAUUAACCUUUUAAUGUUUUCGGUUAACUAUCUGAGAUUGAGAGACAUACCAAAAUCUACCGGGUUCCUUGAUGCUUUUCCCUAAGCAUUAGAAUUAGACUCCUCCUGUAUCUUUGUUGUUUCCUUCAGUUGAGCAGUCCCUUUUGAAGUGUCCCUUUCCACCACAUAGGUGGCAAAUUGGAUUGGCCUCCACAUUGGUGGUUGAUGUAAUGAACUCAACCGGGGUUCUGUGGACGCGAGCAGUAUGCCCCCUUCAUGUUGCACCUAACACAUAAGAGUUCCCGACAUAUACCAUGAUGAUGGUAGCUACACUUGCCGCAGUGGGGAAGGUUUCCUAGGUAUGGUCUCCUCGAAGUCGGGAUGGAAGGGAUGGCAGGGGUAUUGAUUGUCUCAGCUCGUCGCCCUUCGGAAGGUCCUUGAGCCGAGGUACUUCCUUUCUCGUUCUUGAACUUUCUCUUUAGUGGAGUUGGCUGAGGUUCUUGGGUGGCUGUGUACAUAGAGGUUGGUUGCUGCUGUCCACUACUAGGAUCAGAAUUUCCGAUAGGGCUCUUGCUAACAUUGGCGUUGUUAGCAUUCAGUUGAGCCAUGACAGCUGCUACGNGACUGCAGCCUGGAAGGUAGCUUCAUCGAGUAGGAGAGUCGGUUUCUUGUUAGUGGAUAGGUUACGAUCCUUCGGAGGCAUGGGUUUUUCCUAUACGGAAAAGAACUCAAGCGGAUGAGAGACGAUGGUUAACCCUGGACAUAUCUGUCCUUACUGUAUUAGGCAUAAAUUUUUCCCGUGCUUCGGAUAUUGGUUGCCUGAGUGUCGACCUACAUCCCUAUGAUGUAGUCCUGGUAUUCAAGGUAGGAGUGUGAGUAUCGGAAAAAGCCAUAAGAUGGGAAUCGUUCCUACUAAGUUACCUUUAUACUGGGAAAGGUUUCACUCUCCAGCCUGGAAAGAUUUGAGAACAGUUGGGAAGAAAGGCUCAUGAAGACUUAUGGCUAAAUACUCUCAAUAAAGGUGCGGGGAUCCACUCUAAUCGUAUUACUUGCAACUGCAAAAGAAGGCGUUUUACCUAACACAUAGCGUGAGUAGCGUGACCACUAACUCACUAAAUUGUAUUAUUUUAUGGGUGUGUUAGUGUGACGAACACGAAGAAAAGACACUUCUCGGGUUCCAUGUACUGGCUCCCUCUGUCUACCUCGUAUUCCUGACUGGGACCGGCAUUGGUUUUCUUCGGAUAGUUACCUAGGGUUUCUUUCUCGUGAAGAAAUAUUGAAUUUAUACUCCACCUUACUUCCGAAUCCGACUCUGGGUGUCAUCACUUCAUGAUGGAUGACUGGAAAUCUCGGAAGUUUAGGCGAACUUCUCACCAAUGUCCCUAAAAGAGAUAGGCACUUGGUGAUUUCAAUAGUCUCGUCCUAGUUCAUUUAUUUCCAAACUGGAAAUCUUCUCAAUGAACCUCUUCUGGGUCUGAAUCAACUCUUCCGGCGAGCACUGAAGUGGAUAGGGUUUUCUACAGGGUUCGUGCGAGAAUGGAAAUGUCUAAAGAAUCCUUACAGAUUAUUAACAUUUCACUAGAUGAUCCAUAUCGAGUCCUGCUACGAUUACAUAGGGUAUACAAAUCAUAUAUAGCUUAGAUCCGAUAGGCCUUCGAAUAUGUGAUACUACUCUAUAUCCACAUCCCAACGAGGAAAAGGAAGUAGAGCGAAACCACACAUUCUUAGCCUAUGGGAUCCUUAUUAUAUAUAACCUUGGGAGUAUACCCUCUGUAAUUGUAGGUAUAUCAAUAAGGAUCUUUUUAGUUCUUCACACAAGGUUGUCUAUGGAUCCUAAAAUACCCCUAUGGUAUUUUAAUUUCUUGUUUGUUUCUUAUCUUCUGAAUAUGAUUCUGGGAUUAAUGUGAGUCUUUUAGUAUUCCAAAAUACUCCCAUAGUAUUUUAAACUUUAUGUUUGGCUCUAGCAUUCCUAGUUGGUAAGUUUCAGACCUGUUGCAACACCACUAUCACUCCCAAGCACACGUUCAUCGCAUCUCGAAUAAAUGUAGUUGAUCAGGUUACAUUUAUUCCAGCUUACGAUUACAUAACUGCCCAGCUUUGACGGUAAUGCUCAACAUCCGAAGAUUUUUAUUGUUCUUCUUGUGAUACUUGUGUUCGAGUGUUUAGAUUCUGGAUGUUCUUAUACUUUGGUAAAAUAUGGUUAUAUUUUAAAGUAUAAUUCUUGGUCAGAGUGUUUUAUCCCUAUGUAUUUAUAGGCUGUAUAUCUUUUAUGAAUUGAUAUACUUAGCUCACUAUAAACAAUGCUCUGAUACCAGUCUGUCACACCCCAAAACCGGAACGGCGGAAACGUUCUGGGGUGGAUGACGUCAUGUCAAGUAUCACAACAUAUGCAGUAUAGUAAUCAAAGUACAACAACCAUUGCAUUAAUAGUAAUAGUUUUACAUGGUUUACAUUGUAUAGAAUCAUUAAAGUAAUACAAGUAAUAUUGUACGUCCAGCUCGGUACUAAACGGUCUUCACCAAAAGCUCCUGAAAUGUACCUGUCUAUUGCUGACAUGAGAAUACAAGUUAUUUUGAAAGCGAGUAUUAGCAUUUUUAUAAAUGCUGGUGAGUUCAUAAGUCUUUAGUGUCAUUUGUGUAAGUUCAAAAUAACUUUAUAAAAGUGGUAGUUUAGAGUCUACAGUGGAUUAGAGUCAUUUCUAGAAAAUCCUAUAUUUUAUUAAUUAAAAGCAGUCUUCUACCAAGACUUGACAGAGUUAUGUUUGUAAAAGUAAUUUUCCCUUAAUCACUAUCAUUAUCAAAAUACGGUGUUUGAUUUCAAAGAAAGUAGGAGAAUAUCAGGGAAAAUAACGUAUGCCUCAGCAGCGAAGACUGCUGACUAAGGCAAAAGAGAUCAUAGACUCCAGGAGAGUAUCGAAUGAAUGACAUGCUUGGCUCAGUCUAACAAAAGGAGAUACAGACCCCAGACGGCAUCGGAUGAAUGAUACGUGUAGCAAGGUCUAAAAACAGUGGGGACAGACCCCAGACAGUAUCAAAUGAAAGAUACAGUUAACAAGGUCCGAAAUAGUGAAGACAGACCCUAGACAGUAUCAAAUGAAAGAUACAGCUAGCAAGGUCUAAAAUAAUGGAUACAGACCCCAGACAGUAUCAAAUGAAAGAUACAGCUAGCAAGGUCUAAAAACAGUGUAAUUCUAGGUGUGUAUACUCGAGGUGUGUAUUUUCUAGGUGUGUAUAUUCGAGGUGUGUAUUUCCAGCAUACAGUGUUAAGCGUCGUUACCUUAAGGCCAUGAAUUAUAAGGUAACCCCGAGAUACUCAUAACCAUACUGAUAGACACUAGAGAGCUCGACGUCCUGCAAGCGUCAAAAUAAAUAUGUGACAUUUGUCACCCCUUGGCUUGGUAGGCCGUGGACUGUAGCUAGCAGUCAGGGUGCGGGAGUGUCAAUCCCAUAUAGAUCUAUACACACAAUGUCCGCUCUCCCUACAAGAGACUCUGGUUACCAACUAGACUACGGAGAAGGCCGUGUCCUGAAUAUGUAUCCCGAAUAGUGGAUUCUGAUGUAAAUGUUGGACUAGCAGUAGAGACUCAUAAUUGAACCGAUCGAUGUAAACCCAUAUGUCUAUACAUGUAUACAUGAUAUAUAAUUAAUGAUCAAACGACCUUCGGAUGGAUAUCCGAUCCCACCAGACCACAUCUCAACGAAGAAAAGGAAAUAGGGCGAACUAGCCUUCCUAAGUCCUUUAAUCAUUAUUUAUAUAACCAUACAUGUACAGGUAUACAUUUAACUAAGUGGAAGCGUAUCGUGAAGUAGAAGCGUAUCGUGAAGUAGGAGCGUUAAUAAGUAUAAGCAUAUCACGAAGUGGAAGUGUUAUCAUGUAUAAGUGAAGUAGAAGCGUAUCACUAAGUAGAAGUGUUU
Molecule: long non-coding RNA, 8594 nt
Filed under: Lactuca sativa (garden lettuce)
Lineage: Eukaryota; Viridiplantae; Streptophyta; Magnoliopsida; Asterales; Asteraceae
Description: long non-coding RNA (LSAT_LNC004659)
Source: RNAcentral